RNAcentral lists this ribosomal RNA (707 nucleotides) under Pseudotargionia sp. ud4502. RNAcentral describes it as "partial 28S ribosomal RNA". It matches the Rfam family "Eukaryotic large subunit ribosomal RNA", at positions 597 to 919 of the family's 3401-position model. Lineage: Eukaryota; Metazoa; Arthropoda; Insecta; Hemiptera; Diaspididae. The record is from RNAcentral.
GUGAUCUGGGCGGCGGAAUUCAGGAUGGCGGUACGCGGUCUCCCUUUGAGCGGGGAGGCGCGCGUUCGUCGUUUGAUAUUUCCGUUGCCGACCCUAACGGGUGCAGACGUCGCGACCUGUUCGCGGUUGGUCCUUGCUCGGAGGAGCCGCGUUCGAGUUCGUUGCGCGACGCGUUUUUACACGUUGCGCGGCGAAGGCGCGGAUCUCUGGCUAACCGGCGGACAGUACGCUGUCAACGGUGUCCGGUGUCGUCGUCCUUGUACGCGCGGCAUCCGGUACCGGUCGGCGACGAAUUCUUCGGGCCUCUUUCCGACCCGUCUUGAAACACGGACCAAGGAGUCUAACAUGCGCGCGAGUCGCGGGGUGUCGAGCGUAUAUCGGUGCGUUCGUUACGUUGCGAAACCCGUACAUGUCGAAGGCGUAAUGAAAGUGAACGGGGAAGAUGGUGUUCCGAGUACACGUUCCGCGAUCGUCGGUAUCGCGGCCGGACACCCGCAUUCCCAGGGCGUCUCAUCCGCCCGUCGCAGCUGCGGACAGUCGUCUCUCGAGGUGGCUGUCGGUCUGCGACGAGCCGAGGCGCACCUAUAGCGUGCACGUUGGUACCCGAAAGAUGGUGAACUAUGCCUGGCCAGGAUGAAGUCAGGGGAAACCCUGAUGGAGGUCCGCAGCGAUUCUGACGUGCAAAUCGAUCGUCUGAGCUGGGUAUA